CCUACGGGUGGCUGCAGUGGGGAAUAUUGCACAAUGGGCGCAAGCCUGAUGCAGCCAUGCCGCGUGUGUGAAGAAGGCCUUCGGGUUGUAAAGCACUUUCAGCGGGGAGGAAGGCGUUAAGGUUAAUAACCUUGUCGAUUGACGUUACCCGCAGAAGAAGCACCGGCUAACUCCGUGCCAGCAGCCGCGGUAAUACGGAGGGUGCAAGCGUUAAUCGGAAUUACUGGGCGUAAAGCGCACGCAGGCGGUCUGUCAAGUCGGAUGUGAAAUCCCCGGGCUCAACCUGGGAACUGCAUUCGAAACUGGCAGGCUAGAGUCUUGUAGAGGGGGGUAGAAUGCCAGGUGUAGCGGUGAAAUGCGUAGAGAUCUGGAGGAAUACCGGUGGCGAAGGCGGCCCCCUGGACAAAGACUGACGCUCAGGUGCGAAAGCGUGGGGAGCAAACAGGAUUAGAUACCCUAGUAGUC
This 465-nucleotide ribosomal RNA is filed under the name uncultured Klebsiella sp. RNAcentral describes it as "bacterial SSU rRNA". It matches the Rfam family "Bacterial small subunit ribosomal RNA", at positions 338 to 795 of the family's 1533-position model. Lineage: Bacteria; Pseudomonadati; Pseudomonadota; Gammaproteobacteria; Enterobacterales; Enterobacteriaceae. The record is from RNAcentral.